RNAcentral lists this ribosomal RNA (481 nucleotides) under uncultured bacterium. Its description in RNAcentral is "bacterial SSU rRNA". It matches the Rfam family "Bacterial small subunit ribosomal RNA", at positions 30 to 504 of the family's 1533-position model. The record is from RNAcentral.
UGAACGCUAGCGGCAGGCUUAACACAUGCAAGUCGAACGGUAACAGGAUUGAUUUAUCAAUUGCUGACGAGUGGCGCACGGGUGCGUAACACGUAUGCAACCUACCCUUUACAGGAGAAUAGCCCCGAGAAAUCGGGAUUAAUACUUCAUGGUAUCAUAAGAUCGCAUGGUCUAAUGAUUAAAGUUUCGGCGGUAAAGGAUGGGCAUGCGGUCUAUUAGUUUGUUGGUAAGGUAACGGCUUACCAAGACUUCGAUAGAUAGGGGGUCUGAGAGGAUGAUCCCCCACACUGGUACUGAGACACGGACCAGACUCCUACGGGAGGCAGCAGUGAGGAAUAUUGGUCAAUGGAGGAAACUCUGAACCAGCCAUGCCGCGUGCAGGAAGACGGCCCUACGGGUUGUAAACUGCUUUUAUUUGGGAAGAAACCCUGAUACGUGUAUCAGGCUGACGGUACCAAACGAAUAAGCACCGGCUAACUCC